UCGAGAAUCUUCCGCAAUGGACGAAAGUCUGACGGAGCGACGCCGCGUGCGGGAUUAAGGCCUUCGGGUUGUAAACCGCUGUCAGAGGGGAGCAAAUUUUGAGCGAUCCUCAGAGGAAGUACGGGCUAAGUUCGUGCCAGCAGCCGCGGUAACACGAACCGUACGAACGUUAUUCGGAAUCACUGGGCUUAAAGAGUCCGUAGGCGGGUUAGUAAGUCGGGUGUGAAAUCCCACGGCUCAACCGUGGAACUGCGCCCGAUACUGCUAGUCUUGAGGGAGAUAGAGGAAAGCGGAACUGAUGGUGGAGCGGUGAAAUGCGUUGAUAUCAUCAGGAACACCGGUGGCGAAAGCGGCUUUCUGGAUCUCUUCUGACGCUGAGGGACGAAAGCUAGGGGAGCGAACGGGAUUAGAUACCCCUGUAGUCC
Molecule: ribosomal RNA, 425 nt
Filed under: uncultured prokaryote
Description: bacterial SSU rRNA
Rfam family: Bacterial small subunit ribosomal RNA
Source: RNAcentral